Molecule: transfer RNA, 81 nt
Filed under: Clostridioides difficile
Lineage: Bacteria; Bacillati; Bacillota; Clostridia; Peptostreptococcales; Peptostreptococcaceae
Description: tRNA-Tyr(gta)
Source: RNAcentral
GGUAGGUCUGGGGUUCGAGUCCNGCAGACUGUAAAUCUGUUGUCAUCGACUUCGGUGGUUCGAAUCCACCAUCCUCCACCA